AUGAUAAUGACAAAGAUCAGUACUAACCAAUCAGAAACAAAGUGUGCAUUUUGAUAAAUGGAUCAGAAGUUUGCUUUACCAUGUUUCUUGGUGGAGUUGACACAUUCUGGAUAAACCCUUGUCGCUUGAUCUUGCUUGCCAUCUUUCUGUAGUUGGUAACAAAACGAUCAAGCUCCCACAAAGUCUCAUUAUCUAAAGCUUCAAUAUCCAACUCUAUUUCGUCACCGUCUUGAGGCAAAUCUCUUGUCCUCUUCCUAAGAAUCUGAAUCAACUGUCCAAGCUUCUCAGGAGGCAAUUCUUGUAGAUUCACGCCAAGCUUUCCCUUUUCAUCCAUUGUCAUUUCCCGCUUGUUUGGAUCCUUAGCCUUCGGUUUCGGUAACUUCCCUUUCCUUCCCUUAUUCGUUUCACGCACUUCAAGUGAUGCUUCCACUUGGUUAACCGGCUGGGGAGGUGGUGAUGGUGGUGGUGGUGGCUGAACCGGUGAAGGAGGAGGAGAUGGGUCACGUGUUAUCUCAAUUACUGGAGGAGGAGGCAAUGUAGGUAGUAGCGGCUUCACUGAAUCUAGCUUUUUAGCUAUAGAAAUCUGUUCAGGUCCUUUCCUUGCAUUCUCCGCCACAUUAUUCUGAUUCCACACUCUUUGAUUAUCCUCAGGUCCAGGACGAGACGAUGAUCCCAUAACUUUCACCUCUUGAGCCUCGAAUCUCUUCAAUGUAGGGUUGAACCAAACGUCAAAUUGACUCAGAAGCUUCUCAGCCAUCAAAUAAACAUCUUGACCCUUUGGA
Molecule: small RNA, 782 nt
Filed under: Arabidopsis thaliana (thale cress)
Lineage: Eukaryota; Viridiplantae; Streptophyta; Magnoliopsida; Brassicales; Brassicaceae
Description: ATSL246210
Source: RNAcentral